RNAcentral lists this ribosomal RNA (464 nucleotides) under uncultured Serratia sp. RNAcentral describes it as "bacterial SSU rRNA". It matches the Rfam family "Bacterial small subunit ribosomal RNA", at positions 338 to 795 of the family's 1533-position model. Lineage: Bacteria; Pseudomonadati; Pseudomonadota; Gammaproteobacteria; Enterobacterales; Yersiniaceae. The record is from RNAcentral.
CCUACGGGAGGCUGCAGUGGGGAAUAUUGCACAAUGGGCGCAAGCCUGAUGCAGCCAUGCCGCGUGUGUGAAGAAGGCCUUCGGGUUGUAAAGCACUUUCAGCGAGGAGGAAGGUGGUGAGCUUAAUACGCUCAUCAAUUGACGUUACUCGCAGAAGAAGCACCGGCUAACUCCGUGCCAGCAGCCGCGGUAAUACGGAGGGUGCAAGCGUUAAUCGGAAUUACUGGGCGUAAAGCGCACGCAGGCGGUUUGUUAGUUCGGAGUGAAAUCCCCGGGCUCCAACUGGGGACUGCCUUUGGAAAUGGGAAGGUAGAGUCUUGUGGAGGGGGGUAGAAUUCCAGGUGUAGCGGUGAAAUGCGUAGAGAUCUGGAGGAAUACCGGUGGCGAAGGCGGCCCCCUGGACGAAGACUGACGCUCAGGUGCGAAAGCGUGGGGAGCAAACAGGAUUAGAUACCCGUGUAGUC